Molecule: ribosomal RNA, 249 nt
Filed under: uncultured Caryophanales bacterium
Lineage: Bacteria; Bacillati; Bacillota; Bacilli; Caryophanales
Description: uncultured Bacillales bacterium partial 16S ribosomal RNA
Rfam family: Bacterial small subunit ribosomal RNA
Source: RNAcentral
CACGCCGUAAACGAUGAGUGCUAGGUGUUAGGGGGUUUCCGCCCCUUAGUGCCGCAGCUAACGCAUUAAGCACUCCGCCUGGGGAGUACGCACGCAAGUGUGAAACUCAAAGGAAUUGACGGGGGCCCGCACAAGCGGUGGAGCAUGUGGUUUAAUUCGAAGCAACGCGAAGAACCUUACCAGGUCUUGACAUCCCGGUGACCACCAUGGAGACAUGGUUUUCUCUUCGGAGACAACGGUGACAGGUGG